This 512-nucleotide ribosomal RNA is filed under the name uncultured bacterium. RNAcentral's name for it is "partial 16S ribosomal RNA". It matches the Rfam family "Bacterial small subunit ribosomal RNA", at positions 28 to 523 of the family's 1533-position model. The record is from RNAcentral.
GACGAACGCUGGCGGCGUGCCUAAUACAUGCAAGUUGAGCGGAACUGGGGGAGCUUGCUCCUUCCAGUUUAGCGGCGGACGGGUGAGUAACACGUGGGCAACCUGCCCUGCAGAUCGGGAUAACUCCGGGAAACCGGUGCUAAUACCGAAUAGUUUGGCGCCUCUCCUGAGGCGCUACGGAAAGACGGUUUCGGCUGUCACUGCAGGAUGGGCCCGCGGCGCAUUAGCUAGUUGGUGGGGUAACGGCCCACCAAGGCGACGAUGCGUAGCCGACCUGAGGGGGUGACCGGCCACACUGGGACUGAGACGCGGCCCAGACUCCUACGGGAGGCAGCAGUAGGGAAUCUUCCGCAAUGGACGCAAGUCUGACGGAGCAACGCCGCGUGAGUGACGAAGGUUUUCGGAUCGUAAAACUCUGUUGUGAGGGAAGAACACGUACCAACUAACUAUUGGUACCUUGACGGUACCUCGCCAGAAAGCCACGGCUAACUACGUGCCAGCAGCCGCGGUAA